UCGACCAUCCAUGCACAUCCAC
Molecule: non-coding RNA, 22 nt
Filed under: Arabidopsis thaliana (thale cress)
Lineage: Eukaryota; Viridiplantae; Streptophyta; Magnoliopsida; Brassicales; Brassicaceae
Source: RNAcentral